Molecule: non-coding RNA, 171 nt
Filed under: Succinivibrio dextrinosolvens DSM 3072
Lineage: Bacteria; Pseudomonadati; Pseudomonadota; Gammaproteobacteria; Aeromonadales; Succinivibrionaceae
Source: RNAcentral
GUUACGGUGACGUGAUAGCUGAAAGCAGUGGAUAGCAAAUCUCUGGUCCGACGAACAGAAAUCAUCUAUAGGCGAACUAGGUGGAUAAGAGUGCAAAUUAACUCAAAGUCCAAUAAUUAGACGGAACCUAGUGUGUAAAGAUGGCGGAUAGAUGGAGUGAAAGAUAAUGUU